UCCGGACCCCCGCAGACCUGGGGAGAUGACGAACAUUACGUCACGUGAUCUGAGCGGAUAUGUGGAGAGACGCAAAGCAUAAAGCGAGCAACGCUCGUUCGGCCACAGACCAGGACCAAGUCCGGUCAACUCUAGAAUGUGGCUCUUGAUUUUCUUAGUCUGGAUGGUCAUAUGGGCCGGUGGUACAUACUGGUACCUGUUUGGAAAGCCGAGCCCUUUCUCUCUGGAGUCACUGAGCCCACCUGGACCUCGUGAGUUUGACCAGAGAAAGCGCAACCAAGUCCUCAAGCAAGGUUUCAAACUCAGCAAGGUGCCUCAGAGUCUGGACGUCAUCGUCAUCGGUAGUGGUAUCGGUGGGCUGACAGCUGCAGCCACACUGGCCAAAGCAGGAAAGAGAGUCCUGGUGCUGGAGCAACAUGACCAGGCAGGAGGCUGCACUCACACCUACAUAGAGAAAGGCUUUGAGUUCGAUGUUGGGCUUCACUACAUUGGUCAGCUUCAUGAGAACAGUCUGCUGCGUGUCGCUUUUGACCAGCUCUCUGAGGGCCAGCUGGAGUUCCAGCUGCUAAACCAACACUUUGAGACUAUCCAGAUUGGCCUGGGUGAUGAGAAGCGAGAGUACACCAUCUUCUCCGGUAAAACUGAGAUGAAAGCCCAUCUGCUAAAACAAUUCCCUGAUGACACUGAGGCCAUUGAGGCAUUUUUCAAAAUCAUGAAGAUCUCAGCUAAGAAGACAAACUAUCUGGCAACUCUGAAGCUGAUCCCUCUGUGGUUGUCUCUAUUCCUGCUCAAGUCAGGCAUCGCAGACCUCGUCUCCCCAGUGUUCCGCUUGUCUGGCACAUGUGCAACAGACUUUGCCAGCACCCUGACCAGCAACAAGGAUCUCCACCUCAUUUUCGCUUAUCUUUUCUAUGGUGUGCCUCCAAAAGACUCCAGUGUUUUGAUCAACGCUCUCAUGCUUCACCACUACAAGCGAGGUGCCUACUAUCCUAAAGGUGGGGCCAGCGAGAUCGCCUUUAAUAUCAUCCGCACCAUUCAGAAAUACGGAGGAAACUGCCUGGUCAGAGCGCCUGUCUCCCAGAUCCUGGUGAACAAGAAGGGAACAGCUUACGGUGUGAAAGUGAGGAGAGGACAGGAGGAAGUGGAGGUCCAUGCACCUGUGAUUGUCUCAAACUGUGGCAUCUUCAGCACCUUCCAGAAACUUCUUCCACCUGAGAUUCAGGUCAAACCUGAUAUUCAGGAAAGACUGAACCUGAUGAAACAUGGCAGAGGAUCGUUGCUGCUCUUCUCUGGCUUUGACGGAACCGAGGAGGAGCUGGGCCUUGUGUCCACAAACUUCUGGCUGUUCAAAAACAACGACAUGGACAAGUCGAUGGAUGACUUCUUCACACUGAGCAAAGAGGAAGCACCAGAAAACAUUCCCAUGAUGUUCAUUACAAUACCGUCUUCCAAAGAUCCAGAAGCCAAACUAAGGCACCCGGGAAAAUCCUGUAUGACGAUACUGACCAUGGUGAAGUAUGAAUGGUUUGAGGAAUGGAAGGACACAACUGUGCAUAAAAGGGGUGACGAAUACUACAACUACAAAAUGAGAUUUGCUAAGAACCUCUUUGACUGGGCCUGCACUGUGUUCCCUAAACUCAGAGACAAGCUGGUUUUCCAGGAGGCGGCGACCCCACUGACCAACAUGCACUACCUGGGUGCCCAGCGUGGAGCUAUGUACUCAGCUGAGCUCAACCUGGACCGUUUUCAUGCUGAGGCUGUGGCAAGGAGCAGGUGCAACACUCCUGUCAAAAACCUGUACAUCUCAGAUGUUGAAGCUCCACCCCACCACUGGCCUGCUUCAGCCUCCCACAGCCAACAGCCACAGCUGCAACCAGUCUGAAUAUGAAAGUUUCAGAAGACCCAGUUGAGAGAGACUCAGAUGAUAGUACCCAAGAUCGAACAGUGCUUACAUGCACGAGCAGGGAUCCCACUGAUGCAUGAAAAUCUCAUUUCAACUUCAGUGCUUUGGUCCCUUUAUUUGAGGAAAUGCAGCCAACUGAAUGGGAGGGAGGCACAUUGUUACAGAGAAAACAAAGGUAAUCACCACCUGCUUAAACCACAAAGCCACAACGCUGUAUUGUGUGAUCACAGUUUACAGUGUCUCAGAACUGUGCUGAUGGUAACAGUCCAGGACUGAAAGUGUUAGAUGGUUUCAAGUUCAUGGCAAGAAUGUGGGAAUGUUACAUAUGAAUAAUUAAACAGGCAAAAAAAAAAUUAUUAUUGUUUACAAGGGUAAGAAACCCAUUUUCUACUAAUAAUAAUGCUCCUGUGGCUGGAUGAAAGAGCUAAUCUCUUCAGUCUUUUACGUCCAUCUGCUCUAUGUGAACGCAGCUCCUCCUUCCAGCAGAUGCUUCGCACAUGAUCACACAGAGUCUCACAUUUCACCUUCUCCACUGAACCAGCCCACAGUCCACUGAGUAGCCUCAUCACAGUAACAUCUGCAUUCGUCAUCAAUGCUCCUUCAGCUCUAUGUUUACAUGAUGAGCCAGCUUGUGAAGUCGGGGUAAAUGCUCGGAGACAGCGUGCACUAGAGGGGGCUCUUGUGAGGGUGUGAUUCCAGCCAAGAGACGACUCCUCACGUGGCAGUGAUACAGACAGCCAUCAUUCUCCUUAUCUGAAUCAA
Molecule: RNA transcript, 2665 nt
Organism: Monopterus albus (swamp eel)
Lineage: Eukaryota; Metazoa; Chordata; Actinopteri; Synbranchiformes; Synbranchidae
Gene name: putative all-trans-retinol 13,14-reductase
Exons: 12
Source: RefSeq, a predicted model, not a curated record